UACACGGAUACUUCAGAAAGUGCGCGUAUCCUGCCGGAUACUGCCCCGAUACUCAGAUACUGCCCUGAUACUGCCCGAUACGUAUCCCGUAAGUAUUCUGUGAUUUAUUGAUUUUAAAAAAAGAAAAUAGUGUUUGAUACCUCUGGGAUACAUUUUGGAUACGGCAACCCCUUCGUUCGACGUAUAAAAAUGAAAACUCCUCGAUCCCCUCCUAGCGCCGCCGCACGUCAUCAAUUCCCAGCUGGCCACCUCGUCCCCUCGACUCUUUGGAGCAGGCGAGCAGCCACAGCCCGCAGGUCUCCAACUCUCCAUAACUCUCAGCUCCAGUCCUCUCCUCUCCCACAUGUUCUUCUCCAACUCUCCGUCCAAUCGACGCUGAUCGGUCGCCGGCUCGUCGCCGGCAGAAGACAUCCGUGUCUCCCUUGCAGGAGAUCGGCCAUAGGGUCUUCUUCAGUUAGAAGUGACGCAGGUAGUGGAGGUAGCGUGGAUGCAGUCCAUGUAUUGGCUACUGCUCGUGUGAUUCCGGAAGAUGAUAAUGAGAAGAAGCCUUUGUGGAGGUACGUCCAGAUGUUGGAAAAUACUGGGAAAGGGAAAGGAGGCAACAAGAGAUCCAUGCAGUAUUUGUUAAGCAAUCGUGAAGACUUCAAGUUUUUUAAUAAAACAGUGCAUUUCCUAUAAAAAAACUCGUUAUUUUUUCAUAUAUUUAAUAAUUAAUAUGUAUAUACAGACGUAUCCCCGUAUCCUAGUUUUUAGAAAAUUGCUGUAUCGGGCGUAUCCCCGUAUCACGUAUCCGAUACGUAUCCAAGUAUCCGUGCAACGUAGACCACACCUAGAAGCCGGAUAUGACCAAUUAAGGAUUAUUAAACCGGGCGAAGACGGUGGCCUUGGCUUCAUCCAUCUCUCACAUUUCCACGCGCAGAUAUGGAAGAGGAAGCCUGAUUGUAAUGGUUUGGCUGUAUGGGUGAUCGACAGAGCUAUUGAAUUCAAGGAACUUAGAUCAAAUUGCAAGGGCUACUCCCUCACUUUAGUUGGGUUUGUCGAGGAGAGUAAUGCAAUCCUUGUACUGACAGCUUCUGGCGUCUUCAUGGUAUAUCCCCAGCCAAUGGAGUUUAAGAAACUCUCCAAAUUGUGGGUCUUCUGUCUCUAUUAUCCAUUUGCAUCUUUCUAUCCUGCAGGUAAUAGCAAGCCUUUAUAUAAUUUUCUUUGCAGUAUUAUAAGAUAAUUUGUUUUGUAAUUAGUUGCUGAAAUGCCAUCCUUGAGUGUUAUGCUGAUGAUUGAAGUUCAAAUAACAUCAAUUUUAUCCUUUUGCUGCUUGAUGAAUUCUUUAAAAGAAAAUAGUACUUAAGGUCACUGUUCUUUUCUGUUGGUAAAAUGCAUAAAUUGUUUUCAAAUGUGGUCUUGUGUGCCUAUCUGAAAUAUAUAUAUAUCUUUUCAGCACCUGAUGCAUAACAGUUGCAAAUCGACGCAAUAGUUUUUGUCACUUGUGGAAGAGCUCUGCUGUGAUUAGCUAGUUCAGAUGUACAAUUGGGAAGCAAAUAAUAGGCUAAACCUAUUAUGUUUCUUGUCAGGUUUUUAGUUUUAACAUCUCUUAACUUGUUCCUCUUUGUCUGACAAGGAAUUGGUAUUACUAAAGAUGAUUUCUAGAAAGUAUCUUUUCUUUUGUGGAUUGUCUUAUGGUAAUAUUCAGUACUGGACCGCAGUUCUACACAUAACAGUAUAUAAAAGGGUAACUCCAUUGGCACUUUUCGGAGCUUAAAGCUAGUUACACUCUUUCAAUUGGAAGCGGGAACCAAUUGAAUAAAUUGAAGUUCUAUUUUAUAUUUUGUUGAAUAUCUUCCUGAAGUGAGGAGCUCAUUUGCAAUUUUGCACCAGCGAAUAAAUAAUUUUCUUCAUGUCUCAUGUUAAUUUUCUCCGAUUACAUAACUAUGCAGCUCUCAGUUCACCUAGAAGAUAACCCAAUAUAAUUGUCUCUUCUAUCAACAUUUUCCCAUCAGAAUUCUCGUUGGGUUCCUGACUUGGUAUGCUCGUAUGUAUUGGCAUUGUUGUUGGACAUGGUGGUGGUGAAGUGUUGGACAAUAUGUGAGAUGGUUGCCUGGUGAGACAUGCUAGUAUGAUGUGAUGACUGAAAAGGUAUGGCUAAGUUGCAGGUUGGCCCAUCUGUGUAGUUUUUCGUAUUUUCUGGUGUUGUGGCUAGUGAUGCUCCACUUAUGAAAAUUCAUCCGUUGUAGCAUGUAGAAUUCAGACAUUUUCAGAAGCUACUUUCUCUGCAUAGCAGCUAGCAGUGAUGAUCAUUUCCAAAUCUUUCUUCUGUAUAAGGUGGUGUUUCCAUUGUAGACUGAACCCAUAUAGAUGGCCUUAUGCCAGUAAUCCGAUCUGGUUUAUCUUGGCA
Molecule: long non-coding RNA, 2389 nt
Organism: Triticum aestivum (bread wheat)
Lineage: Eukaryota; Viridiplantae; Streptophyta; Magnoliopsida; Poales; Poaceae
Exons: 3
Source: RefSeq, a predicted model, not a curated record